AUGUAUGGGCCACAUGUGGGGCAGGCUCUGAAUGGGUGUUCCUUCAGUCUCUGUUUUAAUCUUUGCCUCUCUCUUCCCUGCCAAGGGUAUUCUUGUUCCCCUUUUAAAGAAGGAGUGAAGCAUUCACAUUUUGAUCAUCCGUCUUGAGUUUCAUUUGUUCUAGGCAUCUAGGGUAAUUCAAGCAUUUGGGCUAAUAGCCACUUAUCAAUGAGUGCAUACCAUGUAUGUCUUUCUGUGAUUGGGUUAGCUCACUCAGGAUGAUGUUUUCCAUUUCCAACCAUUUGCCUACGAAUUUCAUAAAGUCGUUGUUUUUGAUAGCUGAGUAAUAUUCCAUUGUGUAGAUGUACCACAUUUUCUGUAUCCAUUCCUCUGUUGAAGGGCAUCUGGGUUCUUUCCAGCUUCUGGCUAUUAUAAAUAAGGCUGCAAUGAACAUAGUGGAGCACGUGUCUUUUUUAUAUGUUGGGGCAUCUUUUGGGCUGACAUGUUAUCUUAUAAUGUUAUAUUUUAUGUGCUUUUUGCUUUUGAUUCAUUCAUGUGGGGGAAUUUUAGGAUUGUUCAGCUUUUGACUCAAGUGUUCACUUUUCCUUGUUACUGUGCAUAGGAACUUUACAACUGUUUAUUUUUUUAUUUAUUUGUUUACAACAAAUGGCAUCCUUAAACUUUCAUUUUAUCCCACUUUGCCAUUUUCAUCACUAUUUUCAACACAUUAUUUGUUGUUUUAUUCUUUUUACUUUAUCAGGAUGUAUACUUUCUAUACUCUACCCUUUUAUCUACGUUGUCAGGCUCCCUUAUCCUCAGGUCUAGGUUAACUAUGAAAAUCUCACCUGGAUCCCUUUCCCAUACGGUUCCUUGUCAGCUUUUGGUUGGGGCACACCCCUCUUUUGCUAGCCAGGAAGAAACCCGUGUAUAGCAGUUCCUAAACUCUGGCAUCUUUAAGUCACUUUUUUCUCUCUUUACCCCAGGGAACUUUCUUUUCUGGGUUUCCUGAAAAUACUGCUACUUUGAUGCCAUUUUUUUCUGUGCUGUGUUUGAAGUUUGGUACUAUUUUGUUGUUACUGUUGUCUUGUUUUGUUUUUGCAUUUGACCUUAUUUUACCCCCCACCUCACUCCCUUGAAAGCCCUAAGAACAUUUUCUUUAUCUUUAUGAACUAAUGAUCUUACUAGACCAUCUUUUGGACUCCAUAAUUUAGGCAAUCUUUUCUUACCACCUACUAGGUUCUUUAUUGUAUAAAUCCAAUUGUUCUUUUUGUAUCUGGACAUUAUUAUUAGAUGAUCAUUUCAAUGAUGAAUUCUAUCUCAUUGUUUCUCUUUUCUUUGUUAGGGGUAUGGUAGCAUCUGUUUUCAUCUGUCUUCCACAUCAUUUUUAUAGAGACUCCUAUUUUCUUUUUGAUUUUUAACUAUGUAGUUAUCUCUGUUAUAGGCUGACUUACAGCUAGACCAUAUGGCAUUUCUGUUUCUAGGUUUUGAAGAACUCCCUGUUAGGGUUUGAAAAUUGCUAGACCACAGACUCAAAGAGUAUGCAAGAACAAAGAGCAUUUAUUCUGCAGAAAUAACCAGCAUGCUAGGGUCACCACCACUUCAAAAUGGGGAUGCAAAGAUUUUAACUCUCCAUGAACCUGUAAGAUAGUAACAAAUGAGGAAUGUUUAGCCAUAAUUACGCCUCGUGGAUAUGCAUGUGGACAUUCUCUGUAAUAAGCCACGAAUUCAAUUUGUGACCCAAAUUUAUGUGCAAACUCGUAGUGAACUUUUUACAGGCGAUCACACUCUGAAAAAUCAUGCCAGUGUUGAGAACAAAGAGUAGAAACAGGCCUCCCUUCCCUUUUCUUCCCAAAAUUCCAACUUAGAGCCAUGCAAUUUCUGCUGAGAAAGAGAGCAAAAGCCACUUUACCUAAUCUCUCCCUGUUUAACUCUGAGGUGCUAAACUGAAGACUGCAGCUUCUUGCCUCAGAGCAACCCAGACAGGCAGAUCAGUUAAGGAAGCAAAGUACCUUACAUUUAGGAUGGGUAGCAAAUGGUUAUGGUGUAGUUUCUGAGUGCAGACAAAAUGGGAUGAAAAUGACCCUUCAUCCCAUACUGAUUGUCACAGCAACUGUACUAAUUCAUAUCUUUAACAUUUAUAAAUCUUCCCCUUGUCCCAUAUUCUCCAUAGCAGUUGGUAAGUUUUAUUUUCUUAAAAGCUGAAUUCUGUCUGAUCAAGAAUCUUGGUGUAAUUAAAAUCAUAUUUCUAUGUUAUUUAUUUAUUUGUAUGUGUGGGGGGAGGUGGGCUUAAAGCAUGGAAUGGUGGUCAGAGAACAAUUUGGGAGAAGUCUUUCCUUUCUUCCUACCAUGUGGGUCCCACGUAGCAGACUGAGGUCAUCUAGGCCAGCAGCAAAUGCUUCUAUCCAUUGACCUAUCUCACUGCUCUUGGUGUAGUUUUGACUUGCAUUUCCUUGUUAGCUAAAAGUGUCAAACACCUUCCAUGUCUCAAUAUACCAUUUGUUUUCUGUUGGAAAGUAGUCUGCAAAUUCAUUUGCCCAUUUACCAAUUUCAUCAUCUGCUCUUUUGUUGUUUAAGUUUAAGGUCUUUAUAUAUUCUGGAUACUAAUGCCCUGUCAAAUGAAUACCUUUAAAGUUGUUCUCACAUUCUGUAGAUGGACUGACUCUUAACUGGUUCUUGUGCUGUGCAUGAGCUUCAAAAUUCAAUGCAUUCACCCUCUGCAGUUCUUGACCUACUAGAGUCCUAUUCAGAAACAUGUUGCCCAUGCCUGUACCUUGAAGUGUUUUUCUCUGGCAAUUCUAGAGCUUGAAGUGUUACAUUCGGGCAUUUGGCCCAUUUUGGAUCUUAUUUUAUUCUUCUAUGUGUGAAUCCCCACCUUUCUCAGUGCUCUUUUCUCUGUUGGAUAUUUUUGGCACAGUUGUCAAGAAUCAGAUGGCUGUGGCUGUGUGAGUUUAUAACAGAGUCUUCAAUUUCAUUUGGCUUAUAUAUGGCAUUUCUAUACUAGGACCAUUGGUGUUUUUGUUACUAUGGUUUUGUAGUGAAGUUUGAAAUAAAGUGUUGCAACAGUUCUAGCAUUCUGUUUUGCCCAGGGUUCCAGUCACUAUUUUUGGUCUUUUAUGCUUUUAUAUGAAAUUAAGAUAUGCUUCCUAAUCCUAUGAAGAGCAUCGCAGCUUUAGUGAGACAGACAUACAUUGUUGGAAACAUGUAAAUUCCCAAAACAGACUCAAAAAGAAAUUAAAGCUGUGGGUGGGCAGAUCUGCAACAAGAGAGUGAAUUGUCUAGAAAGAAAAGUUCAGGCCAGCUGACUUCUCAGAUUUUUAUAAACAGGUCAAGAAAAAUUACAUAGGUUUCUCAAAAGUCUUCCAAAGUAUUGCAGAAAAGGGGCAAUGGUCGAAUUCACUCUAUCAGAACUCCAGUUCCUUGAUAAACAAUCCAAGGAGGGCACACAGGCCUUAAUCCAAUCCAUAACACUACAAAGAAAAACAAAACAAAACAAGCAACACUCAAAACACAAGGAAAGGGAACAAACUUAACAUAAUAUGUGACAUUUGUAAGAGUUCGCAAGUAAUGUCAUGUUCAUUGAUGAAAUAUUGAAAACUUUUAUCAGGAAACAAAGACAGAGCUCUUUCAUUUCUUCCAUUUAACAUUGUCUCCAAAGUUCUGGCCAGAGCCAUGAGAGGUGUGGAGAACAAAGGUCACAUGCACUGAAGAAAGAGAAAUCAUCCAUUAGCAGAUUGCAUAACCUCUCACACUCCCACACCACUACAAUUACAAAGCAAAGAUACAGAAAACAAGAUAAAAAUCAAUCAUAUGUCCAUACACCAGACAUGAACAAUCUGGAUGUUAAGGAACAAUUUCACCCAUAAUAACAACAAGUAUAGAAUAAAAUACUUAAGAAUGAGUUUAACUAAGGAUGUAGAAGAUUUGUGUGCGUGUGUGCACGAAUGACAGACACACACACACACACACACACACACACACACACACACACACACACACACACUGUUGAAAUAAAUCAUAGAAGACCCAAAUGACCACUUAGAUGUGCGCCAGAAACCUCAUAUUGCUGAAGAUGGGAGUGUUGCGCAAUGGGGCCUCAGGAUUCAAGUCAAUUCCUAGCAAAAUCCAAAUGAUAUUUUCUUCCUAGAAAUAGAGAAGUUGAUCACAAAAUUUAAAGUGGAUUGCAAAAGAUCAUGCACAGCCAAAGAAUAAUUUGGAAUUUUCACAUCCAGGGUUCAAAAGUUAAAUAUAUAUACAUAUAUAUAUAUAAUUUUUAUUAUUAGUUUUAUAUCUAGAUGGGUGUUUUGCCUGCACGCAUGUCUGUCCAUGACAUGUGUGUAGUACCCUCUGAGGAAUGAGGAGGGCAUUGGGUCAUAUGAAACUGUACAGAUGACUUUCAGCUGCCAUGUGGGUGCUAGGACUCAAACCCAGGCCCUCUGGAAGAGCAGCCAGUGCUCUUAACUGCUGAUCCACCUCUCUAGACUGCAAGUCUAAUUUUAAAUAUUAGUAGGUCUUUAUGUUUAAUGUAGCUUAAGUUGUUUUAUGCCAUUAUAAACUGAUGCAAUACAAGAACAGUAUUUUUUAACUUGUUAAGAUUUUUCUUUACUGCCUAAAAUGUAAUUUUUUUUUUGAAGAACGUUCUAAGAGAUGCUGAAAAUAAUUCAUAUGCCAUGACUAUGUGGAAUAUUCCGUUAAAUCCAUUUGAUCUAUGGCUCAACUUAAUUUUGAAGUUUCAUUGCUAAUCUUUAUUGUUUAGCCUAUUUAUCUAUCGACAAGACUUGUAUAUAUAAGUUAUCAUUAUUAUUGUAUCUGGACCUAUCUGUCCCUUUAUGUUCUUAGGAUUUGUUUUAUGAAAUUGGGUAUGCAAAAAGUUGAUGUGUAUAUUUUUAUAAUCAUAUCUUCUCAGUGGAUUGCUUCCUUUCUUUGUACACAGUGGGCUUUUUAUCUUGUUUUAUUUUUAUUUUUUAACUCCAUCUAUCUAUCUAUCUAUCUAUCUAUCUAUCUAUCUAUUCACUUUACAUCCAGACUGUAACUUCUCCCUUCUCCUCUCCUCUCCUUCCUCUCCUGCCCUUACAAACCAUUCUCCCCAUUACCCUCUUCCCUUCUCCUUACUGAAGGGGUAACCCCCUUUGGGUACUACUCUGUCUGGAACAUCUAGUCCCAGCAGGACUAAGCAUGUCUUUUCCCACUGAGCCCCAGCCGGGCAGUCCAAUGAGGGGAAGGGUUUCCAAUCUCAGGCAACCAAGUCAGAGACAGCUCCCACCCAUCCAAUUGUAGAAUGUAAUUGUAACAAUUGGUAUUGUAUCCUUUAAAUGGUUAAAGUUGGGGAGUGACACCUGGUGAGGGGAUUACCCUUCAGUGAAGACCACAGAUCCAAGAGUUUAGGAGUAGCGCAGACUGUGUUUCUUGGUUUAAGAACAAAAGCCAUGAAGUUGGUUGGCUAGGGAAUCGGGGAUGGAUUUAGAAGGAGCUGGGUGGGUGAAUAUGAUCCAUGUACUUGUACGAAGUCCUCAAAGAACUAAUAAAAAUGAGAAAGUUGUGGAUUGUGUUUUGCACUUUGCCACAGUUUAAAACAAGGUCAGCAACAGUCGCAUGUGUAACUUCUUGUGGGCAGUCUGUUACUGGGGCUUGUAACCAUUAUGAUGGCAGGUUUUUUGCUGUUAUUUCCACUAACUCAAGGUAUCAAUUGUUCUAUUGCACUAAAGAUCCUAGUGUGCCCUUGUUCCCAAGAAACUUUUCCUUUUAAUUGUAUAUGAGUAUAUUGACACUGACCAGAAAGGGCAUCAGAUCCCAUUACAGAUGGUUGUGAGCCACCUUGUGGGUGCUGGGAAUUGAACUCAGGUCCUCUGGAAGAGCAGCCAGAGGUCUUAACCACUGAGCCAUCUCUCUAGCCCUGCCAGGGAACUUUUUUUAAAAAAUUUAUUUAUUUUUAUUGGACAUUUUAUGUAUUUGCAUUUCUUUUUUAUUGGAUAUAUUUCUUUAUUUACAUUUCAAAUGUAAAUAUGCCUUUCCCGGUUUCCUGUCCAUAAGCCCCUAUCUCUUCUCCCUCCCCGAUAAGGGUAUUCCCCCAUCCAUCCCCCCUUACUGCUGCCCCUCCCACAUUCCUCUGCACUAGGGGGUCCAACCUUGGCAGGACCAAGGGAUUCCCCUUCCACUGGCAUAUGCAGUUGGAGCCUGGGUCAGUCCAUGUAUUGUCUUUGGGUAGUGGUUUAGUCCCUGGAAGCUCUGGUUGGUUGGCAUUGUUGUUCUUAUGGGGUUGCAAGCCAGGGAACCUUUUAGUUUGCUCUCAAUUCUGCUGAAUCUGAACUAGUGUUUCUGCAGCUCCUCUGUGAGGGAACUUCACUAUUUCCUGGCAUUUCACUUUUCCUUUCAGUGUUGCAUAUCUUCAAGUAACUUCAGGCUCUUAAAACAUCUACAGUCCCCCCUCCCAACUUUCCAUUUGCCUAAUUCCAGUCUAAAAUGCUGUCCUUUUCUUGGCUUUCUAGGCUGCCAGGGUAGCUUUGGUUUCUGAUGCUCUGUGUGUUACUUAAGUUUCAUCUCAAGAUAUUAUUAAAUUCUCAUUAUUUCUGGUAUUCCGAGGGCUUCUGUGAUGCGUUUAGAUGCUUCUCCUUUAUUAAUUUGCUCGCAUGUAUUUUGGUAUGUGCUCUUUAGUUGGGGACAUUUUUAUUUUCCAGUUCAAAAAUGUUCACAUAUUUUUAUCCUUCAGGGUUUGAAUUUAAAUCCCCCACCCCCCAUGACUCAUGCCUUGGUAUCAUUUUUUGGAGAGCUGUAUUGAUUUUGAUCAGUGUCUUGGUUAGGGUCUCUAUUACUGAGAAGAGCACAGCGACUCUAACUAAGGAAAACAUUUCUUCUUAGGGCUGGCUUACAGUUCAAAGGCUUACUCAACUAUCAUCACGGCAGGAAGCACGGCGGCACACAGGGGACAUGGCACUGGAGAAGGAUCUCAGAGUUCUACAUUUGGAUUGAUAGGCAGCAGGAAAGGAGUCAGACACUGGGCCUGGCUUGAGCAUUUGCAACCUCAAGGUCUACCCUCACUGACAUACUUCCUCCAGUGUGGGAUGAUGUCUCAGGUGAGGCAGGUACAAGACAGAAGGAGGGGUGUCAUUGGAUGAGAAGGAAGGAUGGGCGGGAGAAAAGUUUGAAGGAGGAGGAGGAGACUGGAUGGUACUGGGCUUUGUAUGUUUAAGUGGGCAAUUGUAUCUUAUCAAUUGGAUCUAAGAUUAUUGUGCUGUGUGUUCUUUCAUGUGAGGGUUUGAGUGUAGGAAAGUGUGCGGCGGCUAGAGACACUGGGCCACCGCGGCGAAGUUGGGAUGUGUUUCUGCCAAGAUAUCUAGCAGAUAUCUUGGGACACUGCAGUACAGGACCUAGUGGGGCAAAAGACAACAGUACUUUUUUUUUAAUUUUUUAUAUUUUUAUAACAAUAGAUGGUGCCCAAAGUGGCCACACCUCUUAAAAGUGACACUCCCUGGUGACCAAGCAUUAAAAUCCCUAUUGUGACCAUUCAAACCACCAUCAAUGGGGCUAGCUGGAGGAGAGAGGUGGUAGGAAGAUAGUUACACCUGAACCUGUCUACUGCAGCUUCUUCCUCUUCCUGGCUGUAACGGGAAAUGCUUUGUCCUGCUGAUUCGUCUCUACCAUGAUGGAUAGACAUUGAUGACACCAUGAUCUAAAUAUAAUAGUUCUUCUCUUUAAGUUGUUUACACAAGAAAUAUUGGUUACAGCAAUGCAAAGAAGAAAUAUGUCAUCUCUGAAUAUUUAUUAUUUUCUCUUCUCCAAACUUCUAUUUGAUCUCAUGGACUGUUUCUCCUUUAGUGUUUUUCAUUGUCUCUCCCAUGCCAUCUCUUUUUUUAUCAUUAGAUGAUUUCUUCAACCGAUUCUUCAAAUUAUUCUGUUGAGAGUUUUUGUCUUGACUCUCAUUUUGGAAUAUUACCAGCCUAUAUCCUCUCCCAGGCUAGGCACAUACUGUGCCACUGAAUCAGACCCUUAGCCCUUGACUUCCAUGUUUUAAAUUUUUGAGUGCUUAUUUCUUGUUUCCUACUGAUUGACUAAUGUUUCCAUUCAUUUUGCAAAUGUGAUGCUUUCUGUUUCUGGGGGCCUAACAGGCUUGAGCUUCGGUUCCUCCCUUAAUUCUUCCUUCUGGGAUUACCUUGUGUGCUUGCUCUUAAGAAACUCCCUUUUUGCCUUUUCAGAAUAUUCAUUCAUCUUAAAGAUACCAAGUAGAUUGCAACAUUUGUAUACUUGAAGAGAUUUUGUUUAAGGUGAUCAGACAGGGAAGUAAUGUUGAUGUUGAGAGCCCACAAAAACCCAGAACAUACAGAUCUUUUGAAGGAAGGGUGGAUAUUUUAUUUGUAAUAAGAGAAACUGACUGGCCAUCUUUGGAAAUAUUAAUGCUUUAGGUAUCACCUUUGUAUGCACUAGGCCGUACUGCUAUGUGACUUUUUUUUUCAGGAAUCCAGCUGUGUGCACUCUCGGGUUUUGCUUUAUGAACAUACCCACCUGUCCUUUGGUCCCAGGUCCCUCAGGCGUCUGUGUGAUGCCUCUUUCUCUGUCUCAGUCUUCCAUCAUCCUUAUGAUUAGAAUGCUAUUUCAAAGGGGACACUUUUACUGGACCUCUCAAUACAGUAAUUUUUCUCAGCAGUAAAACAAUGAUUUCUAAAUGUGUUUAUAGUAUUUAAGGUUUAUUCUAAAUUCUCCCACACUUAUGAAUUGACUUUAUAUUACAGGUUCUCAGCAGAUAUCCUCAGACUUCUGAAGAUACCAGAAGUAUCUGCUCCAUGAUCUGCUAGAGGCAUUUGAAAAGGCAUUGGCCAGUGUUAAAUAUGGCUUCCCUGUCCCCACACCUGGGUCACCCUAUGCAGGGUGCUCAUAGGAAAGUGACUUGAGAGCAAGUCAGUACCUGUAAUGUGGGAUCCUUGUAACUCACAGCUCAGGCUGUGUUCAAAAUGACUCAGUUUCUCUUUCUUUGACACUUUAAAAGCUAUGUCCUUUCUCUGUUUCAAAUCCUACAAGUUAUUUGUUAUAUUCAAGAUGUUGCUGGUCUGAGCAUUCACUGCCCAUCAUUUUGACAUUCUUUUUGAACUUUUCCAAAACGAAUUUUGACCACACCACUGAUUUCAUAUUUAGGUUACAUCACUCCAAAUUUGGUGUAAACCCAUGCAUACAUUUUCUUCAAUGCAGAUGUGAUCAUGUAAUAUUCUUUUAUUUCUCAUUAUAUUGACAAAUAUCAUUUAUAAAGUAAAAUGAUAUAAUACAGACUUAAAUUAAGCAUAUUUGUUUGUGAUAUAAUCUAUUCAGAAUAAAAAUAAGCAGCACAUAGAAAGGUCUUGCUACAUAACCACUGACCUGGAAUUUGUAUUAAUUGUUUGAACUUCACACAACUCUGUGGGAUAUCUACAGCCCCUGCUUUUUCUGUACAGACGAGGAAAACAAGACCCGGGUACUAAACCAGACUGCUUUAGAUCGGGUGGAUACUUUUACAUAAAGCUAUUUUCUUACAGAAAAUUUUCAGAAAAUACUUGGUCUGGAGGAGAAAAAAUAAACAUUGGGAUUCUGAAGGUUGGGGACAAGAAAAUGAAGCAAUCAGGAGAUGACGGAUAGUUUUGGGGGGAUUUGUAAAAGCUUUGAAGGAUGUACAAGAAAACAUCAGAUCAGAGUAUGCCAAGAGCCCCGGCUUUCCUCCAGUAAGAAGAUCCGCCCCUUCCCCACAAGCGUGCUACAAUCUCUUCCCUUCCAAAAUUUGACGACACUUUCUGAUGUACAGUACUAUGAAAAUAAUUUUACACUUGAAUCCAUUCGUUUAGUCAUUUAGGCAACAACCAUUGACUGACUGUUGAGGCAGAAUCUUACUGUGCGGCCCUGAUUGUGUCUCCAACUCAAAAUCCUGCCCUAGCCAGCUGUGCACCAGCAUGCCCCCAUUCUAGCAAAUGGAUAUGGAGUAGCAACUGCAUGACAAACUCGAGUCUAGGCAGAGUCAAUACUUCAGUAAAUAAAACGUUCCCACCCCAACGACUUGGUCUGAAGCAGGGAGGUGGUGAGGGCAGCCAUAGCAAAAAGCUUUAUCAAUGGAGUGCACGCUCUACAGGGGGAAGAAAUGCAUAUCUAUAAGGGUCCAUGAAUGCCAAAGAAUGAUAUCCCAGACUCAAAUAGCGCAUAAAUGCAAAGAGUGUUUUAUUCUUUGGAAAUCCAACACGACGGAGAUUCUGAAGUGAGCUCACAGGCUCAAUUUAAAACACAUUAGGGGAAUUCCAGGGAGGGGUAGGUGACCUCUGUCUUAAUCUGUUGGCUCUGUCUCUAGAGACUUUCCAGUAUCUUUGCUAGGGUGUAGGGGAAACUGUUGCUGGGAAGUCUGGAAACUGUUGCUGGGGAAGUCUGGAAACUGUUGCUGGGGAAGUCUGGAAACUGUUGCUGGGGAAGUCUGGAAACUGUUGCUGGGGAAAUCUGGAAACUGUUGCUGGGGAAGUCUGGAAACUGCCACUGACCCACUAUUGUACUUGCCUCAGGCCAGGUGGCAGGGCAGCUUCUGAGGCCUGGAGUUGCCUAGACUUGCCUACUUCUGGGAAACAGAUUUAAGCCGUGUCUCUUGAACAACUGCCAAUUUGAAGCCUACCGUGGAGUCAGCCUGUCUCAAACCAAGAAUUGAACCCAGAACGUUGUGCACAGUUGACAAGCACUCUACCACUGAACUUCUUAAGAACCCAGGAGUCAAAGAAAGGAAAAGAAGUUGCUAAACAGAGUAAGAAGGAACACCCAGGACAAGGCAAGAAAGUUGAAAAUGGCAUGCCUAGAUAUGGGACAUGGAGAGAAAAGAAAUCACAGAAAUGUAUUGAACGUGGAGUGUGGAAUUUAAUUCUGUAGAAACAAGAAAGGCAAGAGUGCUGUUUAAGAAGGCCAGCAGCACAGUCACCUUUGUUUACAGAGGGGAUUACCCAGGUGAGGUGAAGAGUCAACCAGAGGGCACCUUAAAUAGCAAGAGUUAGCUACUGAAGGAUGCAGUGACAGCCCCUAGUCCACCAGCCGGUCUUCCUGCUUCCUGUUCUUCGACUUUGAACUGGUGUGUUUUACUGUGUUCCUCCUGCUUGCUCCUAGUUUCUCUUAACAACCAGAGUAUUUAGUACCACAAAAUUAAGAAUCCAAUCAUGCCCAGGCAUGGAAGAAUGCAAUGACUGCAGUGUAUGUGUGUUCAGUGGAAACACUAGCCAGGUGUUUCCACAUCUUCAGACCCAGAACACAUCCCAGUGUCUUGGAGGACGCUGGGGCUGAAGGAAACGGUGAGCUGGAUUGACUUGAGGCAGUUCGAAGGUCAUGUUAAUUUCUCCCAGCUGCCAUGGCGGAUUACCACAAACAGGAGCGCUUAGGACAAUGGGAAUGUAGUCUCGCAGAUCUGGAGGCUAGAAGUCUAAAGUCAAGAUGCUAGAGGAACCACAGUUGCCCUUGGAGAGGCCACUGCAGAAUCCUCCCUUCCCACUUCCUAGCUCACUUCAGAGAUUGCUGGCCAGCUGUGGCUUGCCGCUGUGCCUGGUCUCUGUCACCACCUAACCUCUUUCUAUCUCCGAGCCCCAGUUCUCUCUGUCAUUGGAUUAGGGCUAAGCAGUAUGCCCAUCUAAAUUGAUGACAUCUUUAAAAGUCCUACUUCCAAAUGAACUCAUAUUUAGAGGUGUCUAAUUGAGGAUAACGGAUCUUUGGGGGAAGAUAGUCCAUCCCACAACAAAGAGUGUGAUUUUUGUGAUGUUGUCUUUCUACUGGUUCGAAUCUCUUCUAGAGUGACUCAUGGCACAUAGAGCAGAUUGGGCUAGUGGCAACUCAAGAACAUCAAGUAAUUAUAUUACAUAGUUGCAAAUCUCUUUUCUAGAAACUAUACAUCCAUUCUCCUAGAGUUCGAUGAUUUAGGACAUUCUUGACUCUUUUCUAGGGAGAGUCUGAUGUGGAGAGAUAAGAAAGUCGCCCCAGACUCUUCCUUGAACUAAUUCGUGCUUUCAGUUUGACCACAGCAAAGUAAACCUUUCUGGAUAAUUUAAUGUAAUUUAAGAGUCAAAAAAAAAUAUCGAUUUUUUUGGUCCAGAGUGACACUAUUAUGCAAGACUGGAAAAAUGUAGCUUUAUAGAACUAGACUUUAUUUACAAGGACUUUUGGCAAAAUUGUGGAGCCCCACUGGAAGUUCCCGGGUUUCAGCAUCCAGGGAGGUAAUGGAAGCCGACAGGGGUGGGAGACCUAAAGGAAAGAGCGAGGUGAGCACUGGCCUACUCUCCGAGUCUCAGGUUGCAGGUGCGGAUGGAUCCUGACUGUGUGGGGUUACCCAGAGUCCUCCUGAGUCACCACGGAGACAGCAGAUGCCAGCAGCGAUGCUCCUCUGGCGCUGAUCUGGAGACUUCUGAGAAAUAGUAAACAUUCAGAGAGUGACACCAGAGCCAUCAUGACUUUGUGCUUUCUUCUUUUUCUGGAUCUAUCUGGUGUGACUUCUCUCUCACCAUCAUGAAUCCCUGCUUCAGUGACACGUCUUUCUGUAGCUUUUCAACUCAAUGACACAUAAUAUGUCUCAGCUAAGGGGGGAUUCUUGGGGAUCAUGCUUUCUAGUGAUAAUUUACUAGCACUUUCCUAAUGUUUUGCUUACAAUAAAAAGUCCUGUCCAAUUUUUUAGAUGUUAUCCCUUCAUAUUAAGAUUUCAUUGCACUGUAACCUGUAACUGUUCAGUUUUUUCCAUGACUGCUCCAGUUCCUGAAUAAUACCACAGAGGCUUAUUUAUUUGUGAGUUAAUGCCUAGGCUUUAAGCUAGGCUUUCUCCCCAGCUAGCUCUUAACUUGUAUUAACCUGUUUAUGCUAUUCAGUGUCUGUGAUGUGGCUGGUUACCUCUCCUCAGUUUCAUACAUCCAACUUCCUCCAAGUCCAGAUGGCAAAACCUUGAGCCUGUCUCCGAGAGUUUCUCUCUCUCUCUCUGCUGAAUAUCCCACCUUUUAAUACUGCCUCAUCUUAUUGGUCAUCAGAUUCCUAUUGAUGAGGCCUUACAUAGUGCACAGAUUAUCUCUAUAGUAACCUGCAGAUAAAAUUAAAUAUUCAGUAAGUAAAAUAAGUAAAUAUUCAAUAAAUGAAACAAGCUCAGCCCUUAGCACACACCUUUAAUCCCAAACACUGAAGGUAAAGUUAGUUUGUAAAAGGAAGCACCCAUGUUUGAACAGGAUGUCUAAUUGAGUGACAGACAAAGUGAUGACUCAGAGAAAGAUUUGACAGAAUACAAUACGCUCAACUCUCAUGAGAGGGGAAAGGGAAGCUGCUUAAGGGCACAGAGAGAGAGAGGAAAGGAGGAGGGGAUGGAGAAAGAGAGGCAGUUUUACUGGGACAGUUAUACAGAGACAGGUUGCAGAGAACAAGCUAGACACAGGUGAAGACAGAAUGAGCCAGAGAACGAGAAGGAGCCAGAAUAUUAGAGUAUAUUGCCAAAGGUUGUAUGAGACCAAGUAGAGAAAUUCAGGAGAGACCAAGAGAGAAGCCAUGAAUCAGCAUGGAAGGAGUUUGAGCCAGAGCAGCUGAGUUGAACCAGCCAGCCAGAGUUCAGGAGAGCUAGAAAGGGCGAGCUUAUUCAGCAGUAAGUCUCAGAGGCAAAAAACAUUUUAGGUCUAGAUUAGAUUAUUCAGAGGCUAGAAGCUUCCAGGACUAGACCUAGGUUAGCAGACAGAGGCAGUAAGCAUUGGAGAAGACAAGUACAUCAGAAGGAUAAAAAGCUACUUUUAUGUUAAGUGGAAGCUUAACAGCCACACACACUUCACCAAACUGCUACAGAAGAGUCAAGAUGUCCAUGAAGAGUCUGGCAGUCUCCUGGGAGAUGUUUUAUUUUAUUUACCUUUUGUGUGAGAAGUGGAAUACCUCGUGAACGCUACAUUAAACAUUCAGUUUCACCAUGCAAACCCAGGCAUACAGCUCUCCCGUAAGUCCCACUGAAACCCUUGCCUUUUCAAGCCUCUGGUGCCCAGGAUGGGCAAGCAUGCCCACCAUGUUGUUAUCCUCCAGAAUGAGCUUCUGAUUCAUCUAUAAUUGGUUAAUUAGCUUUUCCCACAUCCAUCAGCAAUCUGAAACUCUAGCUUACUCUAGACUCUGCUAUCACCAACCUUUCCAUAACAUGUAUCACAGUGACUAUUAGGGUUUGAAUGUAAAAACGUCACCACAGGGGUUGGGGAUUUAGCUCAGCGGUAGAGCGCUUGCCUAGCGAGCACAAGGCCCUGGGUUCGGUCCCCAGCUCCGGAAAAAAAAAAAAAGAAAAAAAAAAGAAAAAGAAAAAAACAAAAACAAACAAAAAAAAAAGUCACCACAGACUCAUGGGUUUAAACACUUGGCUCACAGAAGUUGGUGCUCUUUGGGGACCUCCCAGAACCUUUGUGAAUAUUGCCUCGUUGGUGGAAAUGAAUCACUGUAGGGCAGGCCUUUGAGGGACAAGGGAUGUAGCUCAACCUGGCUGAUGCUGUUCCCUGCCUGCGAUUUGGUGACCAGACGCCUUACCAUGCAGCCAACGCUGAACAGAACCCGUCCACACCAUGAGUGUGCCUUCCCUGCCACUGGUGCACUAAAACCACAACCAAAAGAGCUCCAUCUUGCCUUCAUUUGCUGCAGUGAAGAAAGUCAUCCAUACUGUGACGGAACUUAAUACAGCUCCAAAUCAGAUGAGCUCUCUUUCUCUGCAUCUAUGUGCCACCCCCACGCUGAGAAGUGACGUGUGUAACUGGACCAGUCCCGAUGUUUGCAAUCACCGGAACAGCCUGCGUGGACACUCCUAUCUUUUAUCAUUUGCAAUUCAAAGCACCACAGCACAGGAAGAAAUGUAGCACUUUCCUGAAUCCUAGGCUUCAUUCUAAUGAACUUAAGUCAAAUGGUGAGAAUCCUAGCUAAAUCAGGCAAAUCAUGGGGAGGUGGGUCUUGUACCCCGAAAGUGAGUGGAUAAAAGACAGCAAGAGCUUCUCCUUUAUGUAAUUAAAAGCACCGCAGCAUAGAAAAAACCGCUCAGGGUCACACAGCUGUUAGGAGGCAGCACCAGACCUGGAACUUGGGUCCACCUGUCAAUCAUCAUCCACGGUCUCCCAGCCCACAGCCGCAGCGCUCCUGGUGAGACCGGACCGGGAAGUAUGUUCUCAUGCCCUGGGUAGAGAGAGGUGAGUCUGGACUUGGAUUGACUCUGGAGCUGUUCGCUGUCUCCUCUCCAGUUCUCUGACCCAGGUUAGAAGUUACAUGACUUCUCUGCAUUUUCCUUCCCUGACUGGAUGUAGGGAUGGUGGGCGCUCACCUCGUGGGAGUUUGGGAGGAUGAGAUGACUGCAUGUUACAGUCACAGUCACACUGAGCACACAGUAGGCACUCGGUAAGUUGCUGGUCUGGUCACCAGAUGCUGCUGCCUUUGGGGCGAGGCACUCUGGUUGUGCGGUUAAGGCCUCCUCGGCUUGUGUAGCUGUAGCACCCUCACCCGCUCUCACCCCAUAAAUCGCUCCGGGGCCUUUCUGCCGUCGAAAGACUGCUUUUUCAUUGGCGCUCUGUUUCCUGGCUUUCCGUCAUCCCUGGUCCCUCCUCCCACAGCUGGAGCCUAUAUUUUUCUGUGGACAUUCUUUAUGAACUUACCAACUUUUCAUACCGCUUUUUUUUUUAUUUUUUUUUAAAAGCAGGCUGUGGUGAGGAACACAACACAUUCGAAUUUAGCUUCAUCAGCUCACUUAAUCUGUUACUGUUUCUGUUUUCUCUCUUCAAGGCAGGGAUCUAGAAGCCCUAAAUGGAACGCUUCAAUUCUUCGAAUCACACUUGUGAUGAGCCCUGUGGUGUGUCUAUUCCCCACAGCCAAGGAAUGAAGGCCGACUGUUUAACUUAAAAACUGCAUUCUAAAAGGCUGCCACUUCUUACUGCACGAAGAAAUACAAGAAUAAUCUGACCAGGAGGUCACUGGGGAAUUGCCAAAUGACAAAUAAAUCAGCAUUGUUUAUUAAAGUGA
Rattus norvegicus (Norway rat) is the source of this 15930-nucleotide non-coding RNA. Lineage: Eukaryota; Metazoa; Chordata; Mammalia; Rodentia; Muridae. The record is from RefSeq and is a predicted model, not a curated record.